This 402-nucleotide long non-coding RNA is filed under the name Eutrema salsugineum. RNAcentral describes it as "long non-coding RNA (ESAL_LNC000302)". The record is from RNAcentral. Lineage: Eukaryota; Viridiplantae; Streptophyta; Magnoliopsida; Brassicales; Brassicaceae.
AGGCACAUUAUCAACAACAACAACCUUAUCAUAUAUUUUCCUGAGUUUCUCACGGACUUUCGAAGGUUCAGUGCUUUUCUCCACUUUGGAAACCGUAACUGGUUUCUCCUUGCUUACGUUAUCAGAAGGCUUUCCGUUUAUAAGAGGUUUCUGUUUUCUAACACCUUUAAGUUUCACAUCCACGUUUGUCCCAACCUCCACUUUGGAAAUCGGAACUGGAUUCUCAUUGCUUACGUUAUCAGAAGACUUUCCGUUUAUAAGAGGUUUCUGUUUUCCAUCUUCUUUAAGUUUCACAUCCACGUUUGUCCCAACCUCCAGAUUCUUGGUUAAAGUCAUAACAGGUACAGAUUGCAAAAGGCCAACCGAUUCUUUAUGGAGUGUAGCAGUACUGUUAACUCUGGG